RNAcentral lists this long non-coding RNA (1136 nucleotides) under Marmota monax (woodchuck). The record is from RNAcentral. Lineage: Eukaryota; Metazoa; Chordata; Mammalia; Rodentia; Sciuridae.
UUUUUUUUUUUUUUAGAGAGAGAAUUUUUAAUAUUUAUUUUUUUAGUUUUCGGCGGACACAACAUCUUUGUUUGUAUGUGGUGCUGAGGAUCGAACCCGGGCCGCACGCAUGCCAGGCGAGCGCGCUACCGCUUGAGCCACAUCCCCAGCCCUCACUAAGUUUCUUUAGGCCUUACUAAGUUACUAAGGCUGACCGUGAACUUGCAGUCCUCCUGCCUCAGCCUACAGGUGUGUACCACUGCACCCAGCCCAGUGUAUUUCUUAAUGGUGUCUUUUGAAGAGUAAAGAUUUUUAAUUUUGAUAAGGUUAAGAUCACAAUUUUUUUCAUUUAUGAUUUGUAUUUCUGGUAUCACAGCUAGGGUAAUCUUUGGCUAACCCAAGGUAAUGAAGAUUUACCUUGGUACCUUCUGGAAGUUUUACAAUUGUCAUAGCUGUAGCUCUUGAAUUUAGGUUUAUGAUCUCUUUCAAUUUAAUUUUUGUGUAUGCAGUGAAAGAAGGUUCAGGAGUGUGUGUGUGUUUAUGAUCAUUCUAAUACCACUGGUUUUAAAAUCUAUACUUUCCAAUUAAAUUAUCUUGGCACUUUUGUCAAAAUCAGUUGACCACACACGUGGGUCAACUUCUGAACUCUGUUUUCCGUUUACCAACAUGCCUAUGUUAAUAUUAACUGACUUGGUUACUGAAACUCACAUGAACGAAUGAUGUCCAGAUUGACUUAACCUUUCCCACCCUCGCUCAUUGGACAGAGGCAGCAGCCACUGGGUGGGUCAUCAGGAAUCUAGGUGAGCAUCCCCUGCUUGCCAAACAUUGUCCAGCUGUGAAGACAUCUGUCAUUUCCUACAACUGUUCAUCUGCUUUGGGGGCCUGAUCUUAUGAUUUCUAUAUUCUAGGAGAGGUCAUUGCAAAAGGCAUUUUUCUUCCCUUUUGAGAGAAGGAAAUUAAGGCUAUUGCCUCAGCCAAGAAUUAACUUUAUUGUUUAUCUACUUGGUGGAAGUAGGAGACACAAAAUAAAAUCAUGGCAUUUGCAGGUAAAUGGGUGGCAUUGGAGAAGAUAAUGCUAAGUGAAGUUAGCCAAUCUCCAAAAAACAAAUGCAGAAUGUUUUCUCUGAUAUAAGGGAUGCUGAUUCAUAGUGGGGUAG